AUUGAACGCUGGCGGCAUGCUCUACACAUGCAAGUCGGACGGCAGCGGGGUAGUGCUUGCACUACUGCCGGCGAGUGGCGAACGGGUGAGUAACAUAUCGGAACGUACCGAGCAGUGGGGGAUAACUAAUCGAAAGAUUAGCUAAUACCGCAUAUAUUCUGAGGAAGAAAGCAGGGGACCUUUGGGCCUUGCGCUGUUUGAGCGGCCGAUAUCUGAUUAGCUGGUUGGUGGGGUAAAGGCCUACCAAGGCGACGAUCAGUAGCGGGUCUGAGAGGAUGAUCCGCCACACUGGGACUGAGACACGGCCCAGACUCCUACGGGAGGCAGCAGUGGGGAAUUUUGGACAAUGGGCGCAAGCCUGAUCCAGCCAUGCCGCGUGUCUGAAGAAGGCCUUUCGGGUUGUAAAGGACUUUUGUCCAGGGAAGAAAAGGGCGGGGCUAAUACCCCUGUCUGAUGACGUACCUGAAGAAUAAGCACCGCUAAUA
RNAcentral lists this ribosomal RNA (485 nucleotides) under Neisseria sp. oral taxon 014. RNAcentral describes it as "bacterial SSU rRNA". It matches the Rfam family "Bacterial small subunit ribosomal RNA", at positions 30 to 502 of the family's 1533-position model. Lineage: Bacteria; Pseudomonadati; Pseudomonadota; Betaproteobacteria; Neisseriales; Neisseriaceae. The record is from RNAcentral.